Molecule: ribosomal RNA, 1184 nt
Filed under: Shigella sp.
Lineage: Bacteria; Pseudomonadati; Pseudomonadota; Gammaproteobacteria; Enterobacterales; Enterobacteriaceae
Description: bacterial SSU rRNA
Rfam family: Bacterial small subunit ribosomal RNA
Source: RNAcentral
UGCAGUCGAACGGUAACAGGAAAGCAAGCUUGCUUGUUUCGCUGACGAGUGGCGGACGGGUGAGUAAUGUCUGGGAAACUGCCUGAUGGAGGGGGAUAACUACUGGAAACGGUAGCUAAUACCGCAUAACGUCGCAAGACCAAAGAGGGGGACCUUCGGGCCUCUUGCCAUCGGAUGUGCCCAGAUGGGAUUAGCUAGUAGGUGGGGUAACGGCUCACCUAGGCGACGAUCCCUAGCUGGUCUGAGAGGAUGACCAGCCACACUGGAACUGAGACACGGUCCAGACUCCUACGGGAGGCAGCAGUGGGGAAUAUUGCACAAUGGGCGCAAGCCUGAUGCAGCCAUGCCGCGUGUAUGAAGAAGGCCUUCGGGUUGUAAAGUACUUUCAGCGGGGAGGAAGGGAGUAAAGUUAAUACCUUUGCUCAUUGACGUUACCCGCAGAAGAAGCACCGGCUAACUCCGUGCCAGCAGCCGCGGUAAUACGGAGGGUGCAAGCGUUAAUCGGAAUUACUGGGCGUAAAGCGCACGCAGGCGGUUUGUUAAGUCAGAUGUGAAAUCCCCGGGCUCAACCUGGGAACUGCAUCUGAUACUGGCAAGCUUGAGUCUCGUAGAGGGGGGUAGAAUUCCAGGUGUAGCGGUGAAAUGCGUAGAGAUCUGGAGGAAUACCGGUGGCGAAGGCGGCCCCCUGGACGAAGACUGACGCUCAGGUGCGAAAGCGUGGGGAGCAAACAGGAUUAGAUACCCUGGUAGUCCACGCCGUAAACGAUGUCGACUUGGAGGUUGUGCCCUUGAGGCGUGGCUUCCGGAGCUAACGCGUUAAGUCGACCGCCUGGGGGAGUACGGCCGCAAGGUUAAAACUCAAAUGAAUUGACGGGGGCCCGCACAAGCGGUGGAGCAUGUGGUUUAAUUCGAUGCAACGCGAAGAACCUUACCUGGUCUUGACAUCCACGGAAGUUUUCAGAGAUGAGAAUGUGCCUUCGGGAACCGUGAGACAGGUGCUGCAUGGCUGUCGUCAGCUCGUGUUGUGAAAUGUUUGGGUUAAGUCCCGCAACGAGCGCAACCCUUAUCCUUUGUUGGCCGGCGGUCCGGCCCGGGAACUCCAAAGGAAACUGCCAGUGAUAAACUGGGAGGAAAGGUGGGGGAUGAACGUCCAGUUCAUCAUGGGCCCUUACGAACCAGGGGCU